This 972-nucleotide ribosomal RNA is filed under the name Triticum aestivum (bread wheat). RNAcentral's name for it is "partial small subunit ribosomal RNA". The record is from RNAcentral. Lineage: Eukaryota; Viridiplantae; Streptophyta; Magnoliopsida; Poales; Poaceae.
AUGAGUAACACAACCAUCUCCAUCAUGAACUGGAAUGUUUGGGGGCUGAACUCGCCGACCAAGAGAGCAACCAGUUGCGAGACUGCCAAUGCUCAUAGCCUCGCUCUCCUCUGUUUGCAAGAGACCAAGAUCAAUGCAUGGACACAAGGCAUCAUCAGAGAGAUCGGCGGAGGCCGUCUAGACAACUGCGUCGUGCUCCCAGCCGUGGGUACGCGCGGUGGGGCAGCAAUCUUCUAGGACUCCACCAAGGUCGUCGUGGCUACGCACUCCGUGGGGCAAUUCUUCAUCACCGCCAGUGUCCUCCAACUGCACACCAACACUUCUUUCUGGUUAACAACAGUGUAUGACCCUGUCGGCGAAGCCAGGAAAGAUGAGUUCCUCGAUGAGAUGAUCAGAAUCAGGCCGGCCCACGGCGAGCCAUGGCUGAUCAACGGAGAUUUCAACAUCAUCUACGAGGCAAGAGACAAAAGCAACCACAACCUGAACAGGAGAAUUAUGGGCAGAUUCAGAGACGCCAUUGCCACGGCAAGCCUGAAACAAAUCAAGUGCAAAAACAGACGCUUCACCUGGAGCAAUGAGAGGGAAAACCCAACCUUCGUCGCAAUCGGCAAAUUUUUCUGCAACCAAGAAUGGGAAGCUUCUUUACCAACGCACAUUCUCAUGGCGGCGUCCACCUCCUGCUCAGAUCAUUGCCUCCUGCUUCUGACAGACGCCGCGACACCACCCCGCAAGGCCGUUUUCAGAUUUGAAUCUUUCUGGCCCAAGUUUCCUCACUUCCAGCAGACGGUUGCCAGGGCAUGGCAGAGGCCGGUGAAUCACAAUUGCCCUUUUACCAGGAUGAAAAUCAAGCUCAAGACAACCGCGACCGACUUAAGGAUUUGGGCCAAAAGCAUCUUCAGCAACUCUAAACUUCAGUUCCACAUUGCAUCCGAAGUUGUUCUUCGGCUAGACGCAGCACAAGAAAAGCGUUAG